RNAcentral lists this ribosomal RNA (468 nucleotides) under uncultured bacterium. RNAcentral describes it as "partial 16S ribosomal RNA". It matches the Rfam family "Bacterial small subunit ribosomal RNA", at positions 28 to 507 of the family's 1533-position model. The record is from RNAcentral.
GACGAACGCUGGCGGCGUGCUUAACACAUGCAAGUCGAACGGAAAGGCCCUGCUUUUGUGGGGUGCUCGAGUGGCGAACGGGUGAGUAACACGUGAGUAACCUGCCCUUGACUUUGGGAUAACUUCAGGAAACUGGGGCUAAUACCGGAUAGGAGCUCCUGCUGCAUGGUGGGGGUUGGAAAGUUUCGGCGGUUGGGGAUGGACUCGCGGCUUAUCAGCUUGUUGGUGGGGUAGUGGCUUACCAAGGCUUUGACGGGUAGCCGGCCUGAGAGUGUGACCGGCCACAUUGGGACUGAGAUACGGCCCAGACUCCUACGGGAGGCAGCAGUGGGGAAUAUUGCACAAUGGGCGGAAGCCUGAUGCAGCAAUGCCGCGUGCGGGAUGACGGCCUUCGGGUUGUAAACCGCUUUCGCCUGUGACGAAGCGUGAGUGACGGUAAUGGGUAAAGAAGCACCGGCUAACUACGUG